AAAGGAAUAGACGGGGACCCGCACAAGCGGUGGAGCAUGUGGAUUAAUUCGAUACUAACCGAAGAACCUUACCCAGGUUUGACAUCGAUGGUAAGCCCAUGAAAGUGGGCCCUCCCUCACAAGGGGACCAGAAGACACUUGUUGCAUGGCUGUCGUCAGCUCGUGCCGUGAGGUGUACGGUUAAGUCCGCCAACGAGCGCAACCCUCGUUCUAUGUUGCCAGCGAGUAAAGUCGGGAACUCAUAGGAGACCGCCGGUGUAAAUCGGAGGAAGGUGGGGAUGACGUCAAGUCAGCAUGGCAGUUACACCUGGGGCUUCACACAUGCUACAAUGGGCGCAACAAAGGGCAGCAAUACCGCGAGGUGGAGCAAAUCCCAAAAAUACGUCCUCAGUUCAGAUUGCAGUCUGCAACUCGACUGCAUGAAGGCGGAAUCGCUAGUAAACGCAGGUCAGCUAUACUGCGUUGAAUACGUUCCCGGGUCUUGUACACACCGCCCGU
Molecule: ribosomal RNA, 498 nt
Filed under: uncultured bacterium
Lineage: Bacteria
Description: bacterial SSU rRNA
Rfam family: Bacterial small subunit ribosomal RNA
Source: RNAcentral